GUGCUUGCUUCAGCAGCACAUAUAAUAAAAUUGGAACGAUACAGAGAGGAUUAGCAUGGCCCCUGCACAAGGAUGACAUGCAAAUUUGUGAAAUGUUUCAUAUUUUU
Delphinapterus leucas (beluga whale) is the source of this 107-nucleotide small nuclear RNA. Lineage: Eukaryota; Metazoa; Chordata; Mammalia; Artiodactyla; Monodontidae. The record is from Ensembl.